UUCCCUUCGGAGCUCUGUGACCUUGGACAAGUUUCCACCCUGAAUCCCUGUAUCCUCCUCUGUAAAGUGAGAUGGUAGGUAAUGGCCACCGUCAAAGGAUCUCCACUGAAACUCUGGGAAAGGAGCCCACCUAAAGGAAGGGUCACUGCUGGGGACAACCCUCCAGGGAGCAAUCCAGAGACUGACACCUGGUCAAGGAGCCCAUCGCAGGGUCUGAAAAGUGUACGACUGACCUCUAGCCAUUUCCAGUCCACCUCCCCAAAGCCCACUUCUCCCUGCCCCUCUGUCAUGCCCCUCAGGAAGGAGCACUGGGCUUCUUACAAAGUGGAAGAAGCCGCGGGUGAAGCUCAAGGGCUAGG
Molecule: long non-coding RNA, 359 nt
Organism: Bos taurus (domestic cattle)
Lineage: Eukaryota; Metazoa; Chordata; Mammalia; Artiodactyla; Bovidae
Source: Ensembl